CUGGAGCCUUUUUUAUAAUAUCUAUUUACAUUACAUUUAACCCACGGACAGAAAUCAAAAGAGAAGCGGUGUUCCUUGAAGUUUCCUAUUUUGGUGUCCUUUUGAUAAAACAAAUUUUCCAUGGAUAUAAAAAGAAAGCAGAAGCGGUUGCCCAUAACUGCAAUAUGUUUCGAGCUUUGUAUUUUGGUGCUCUGAUCUCAGAACAUAUUUAAUAAAUCAAUAAUUAAUAAACGAAAUUAAAAAUUAGUUAUAUUAUCUUAGUACUAUCUAUUUCUAUAUCCAUGAUGACUGGCAAAAAGAAAAUAA
This is a long non-coding RNA of Teleopsis dalmanni, 306 nucleotides long. RefSeq lists it as uncharacterized. Lineage: Eukaryota; Metazoa; Arthropoda; Insecta; Diptera; Diopsidae. The record is from RefSeq and is a predicted model, not a curated record. The transcript is spliced from 3 exons.